This 1119-nucleotide ribosomal RNA is filed under the name Nosema sp. CFD.F4. Its description in RNAcentral is "SSU rRNA". It matches the Rfam family "Microsporidia small subunit ribosomal RNA". Lineage: Eukaryota; Fungi; Microsporidia; Nosematidae. The record is from RNAcentral.
CACCAGGUUGAUUCUGCCUGACGUAGACGCUAUACUCUAAGAUUAACCCAUGCAUGUUUAUUGAAUAUAAAGAAAAGACGAACAGCUCAGUAACUCUUAUUUGAUUUGAUGUAUUAGGAUUCUAACUAUGUUAAAUUAUAGGUAACAAUAAUACAAUAAGAAUAAGAUCUAUCAGUUAGUUGUUAAGGUAAUGGCUUAACAAGACUAUGACGGAUAACGGUAUUACUUUGUAAUAUUCCGGAGAAGGAGCCUGAGAGAUUGCUACUAAGUCUAAGGAUUGCAGCAGGGGCGAAACUUGACCUAUGAUAUUAUAUUGAGGCAGUUAUGAGUAGUAUUUUAUAAUUAUUGUAGUAUUGUAAGUACAUAUUACAAGAUAAAUCGGAGGGCAAAUCGAGUGCCAGCAGCCGCGGUAAUACUUGUUCCGAUAGUGUGUAUGAUGAUUGAUGCAGUUAAAAAGUCUGUAGUUUAUUUAUAAUAAGCAUUGUAAGGUAUACUGUAUGGUUAGGAGAGAGAUGAAAUGUGAUAACCCUAACUGGAUGAACAGAAGCGAAAGCUGUAUACUUAAAUGUAUUAUUAGAACAAGGACGUAAGCUAGAGGAUCGAAGAUGAUUAGAUACCAUUGUAGUUCUAGCAGUAAACUAUGUUGAAUCAUAGAUAUAUUUUGAUAUAUAUUUAUGUAGAGAAAUUAAGAUUAUAUUGACUCUGGGGAUAGUAUGAUCGCAAGAUUGAAAAUUAAAGAAAUUGACGGAAGAAUACCACAAGGAGUGGAUUGUGCGGCUUAAUUUGACUCAACGCGGGGUAAUUUACCAGGUAUAACAUGGUAUAAUAUUUUAUCAUGAUAGUGGUGCAUGGCCGUUUCCAAUGGAUGCUGUGAAGUAAUGAUUAAUUUCAACAAGAUGUGAGACCCUCAUUUAGACAGAUGUAGUGAUACAUAUGAAGGAGAGGAUUAAAACAGGUCCGUUAUGCCCUAAGAUAAUCUGGGUUGCACGCGCAAUACAAUAAUAUUUGAUAUUAUAAGGGAUAAUAUAAUGUAAGAUAUAUUUGAACAUGGAAUUGCUAGUAAAUUUUAUUUAAUAAGUAGAAUUGAAUGAGUCCCUGUUCUUUGUACACACCGCCCGU